This 466-nucleotide ribosomal RNA is filed under the name uncultured bacterium. RNAcentral describes it as "partial 16S ribosomal RNA". It matches the Rfam family "Bacterial small subunit ribosomal RNA", at positions 28 to 523 of the family's 1533-position model. The record is from RNAcentral.
GAUGAACGCUGGCGGCGUGCCUAACACAUGCAAGUCGAGCGAACCCUUCGGGGUGAGCGGCGGACGGGUGAGUAACGCGUGGGUAACCUGCCCUAUACACACGGAUAACGUACCGAAAGGUACGCUAAUACGGGAUAAAGUUGUUGGAUGGCAUCUUCUAACAAUCAAAGCUCCGGCGGUAUAGGAUGGACCCGCGUCUGAUUAGCUAGUUGGUGAGGUAAUGGCUCACCAAGGCGGCGAUCAGUAGCCGACCUGAGAGGGUGAUCGGCCACACUGGAACUGAGACACGGUCCAGACUCCUACGGGAGGCAGCAGUGGGGAAUAUUGCACAAUGGGCGAAAGCCUGAUGCAGCAACGCCGCGUGAGCGAUGAAGGUCUUCGGAUCGUAAAGCUCUGUCCUCAAGGAAGAUAAUGACGGUACUUUCAGAAGAAGCCCCGGCUAACUACGUGCCAGCCGCCGCGGUAA